RNAcentral lists this ribosomal RNA (322 nucleotides) under uncultured bacterium. Its description in RNAcentral is "bacterial SSU rRNA". It matches the Rfam family "Bacterial small subunit ribosomal RNA", at positions 29 to 334 of the family's 1533-position model. The record is from RNAcentral.
AACGAACGUUGGCGGCGUGGAUUAGGCAUGCAAGUCGAACGAGAAAGCUUCCUUCGGGAAGUGAGUAGAGUGGCGAACGGGUGAGUAACGCGUGGGAAACCUGCCCUUGAGCGGGGGAUAACAUCCCUAACGGGGUGCUAAUACCGCAUGAUGCGGCGCGUCGCAUGGCUCGCCGGCAAAGGUGGCCUCUUCAUGAAAGCUGCCGCUUAAGGAUGGUCCCGCGUCCCAUUAGCUUGUUGGUGGGGUAAUGGCCUACCAAGGCGACGAUGGGUAGCCGGCCUGAGAGGGUGUCCGGCCACACUGGGACUGAGAUACGGCCCAG